GCGGGAAUAGCUCAGCUGGUAGAGCAUCACCUUGCCAAGGUGAGGGUCGCGGGUUCGAGUCCCGUUUCCCGCUCCA
RNAcentral lists this transfer RNA (76 nucleotides) under bacterium. RNAcentral's name for it is "tRNA-Gly". It matches the Rfam family "tRNA". Rfam says of the family: Transfer RNA (tRNA) molecules are approximately 80 nucleotides in length. Their secondary structure includes four short double-helical elements and three loops (D, anti-codon, and T loops). RNAcentral also lists the same sequence under 3 other names. The record is from RNAcentral.